CCCUUAGAUGUCCUGGGCCGCACGCGCGUUACACUGAUGCAUUCAACGAGUCUACCUUGGCCGAGAGGCCUGGGCAACCUUUUAAACGUGCAUCGUGAUAGGGAUAGAUUAUUGCAAUUAUUAAUCUUGAACGAGGAAUUCCUAGUAAACACAAAUCAUCAAUUUGCAUUGAUUACGUCCCUGCACUUUGUACACACCGCCCGUCGCACCUACCGAUUGAAUGGUCCGGUGAGGACUCGGGAUUUUUACCAGUUUCCUUCAUUGGGAAUUGGUGAGGAGAACUUGUCCAAACCUUAUCAUUUAGAGGAAGGUGAAGUCGUAACA
This 324-nucleotide ribosomal RNA is filed under the name uncultured eukaryote. RNAcentral's name for it is "partial 18S ribosomal RNA". It matches the Rfam family "Eukaryotic small subunit ribosomal RNA", at positions 1470 to 1796 of the family's 1831-position model. The record is from RNAcentral.